RNAcentral lists this ribosomal RNA (585 nucleotides) under uncultured bacterium. Its description in RNAcentral is "partial 16S ribosomal RNA". It matches the Rfam family "Bacterial small subunit ribosomal RNA", at positions 355 to 1375 of the family's 1533-position model. The record is from RNAcentral.
UGGGGAAUUUUGGACAAUGGGCGAAAGCCUGAUCCAGCAAUGCCGCGUGUGUGAAGAAGGCCUUCGGGUUGUAAAGCACUUUUGUCCGGAAAGAAAUCCUUGGCUCUAAUACAGUCGGGGGAUGACGGUACCGGAAGAAUAAGCACCGGCUAACUACGUGCCAGCAGCCGCGGUAAUACGUAGGGUGCAAGCGUUAAUCGGAAUUACUGGGCGUAAAGCGUGCGCAGGCGGUUUGCUAAGACCGAUGUGAAAUCCCCGGGCUCAACCUGGGAACUGCAUUGGUGACUGGCAGGCUAGAGUAUGGCAGAGGGGGGUAGAAUUCCACGUGUAGCAGUGAAAUGCGUAGAGAUGUGGAGGAAUACCGAUGGCGAAGGCAGCCCCCUGGGCCAAUACUGACGCCCAUGCACGAAAGCGUGGGGAGCAAACAGGAUUAGAUACCCUGGUAGUCCACGCCCUAAACGAUGUCAACUAGUUGUUGGGGAUUCAUUUCCUUAGUAACGUAGCUAACGCGUGAAGUUGACCGCCUGGGGAGUACGGUCGCAAGAUUAAAACUUAAAGGAAUUGACGGGGUCAUAGCUGUUUCCU